RNAcentral lists this transfer RNA (77 nucleotides) under Tessaracoccus lapidicaptus. RNAcentral's name for it is "tRNA-Leu". It matches the Rfam family "tRNA". Rfam says of the family: Transfer RNA (tRNA) molecules are approximately 80 nucleotides in length. The record is from RNAcentral. RNAcentral also lists the same sequence under 1 other name. Lineage: Bacteria; Bacillati; Actinomycetota; Actinomycetes; Propionibacteriales; Propionibacteriaceae.
GCCCUCGUGGCCCAAUCGGUAGAGGCAGGCGGCUUAAACCCGCUUCAGUACGGGUUCGAAUCCCGUCGGGGGCACCU